UAUGCCAGCGCCCGUGUUGGUUCAGACGUCCCCGUUGCAGAGUGUCACCUACGUAGUUGUGGGAAAAUGCACACAGAAGUGCGAAUUGUUUCAUCCAAGUGACCUCUCAGGUCUCCAUGAAAUGUCUAAUGCAAAAGAAAGAAAACAUGCUAAGAAAAUGAGAAACCAGCCCACGAAUGUGACUCUAGCCUCUGGCUUUGGGGCUGACAGAGGUGGAAGGCAUCAUUUUGGAGGAGGGAGACCUUCCCAGUCUCAAAAACAAGAGCUGUGAGUCAUCCCUGGGUGUGUGGAGAGCCAGUUGCCCCAAGUGUCAGUUCCCAGGUGCUUACUACCUCUUCAGACAUCAUCAGAGGAUGGAGAGUCUAGAAGUAGUGACGGGAGCUCCUAGCUGUGGGGUCAGUUAACACUUGUGAAUUUCAUUCUCUCUCUCUCCCCUCCCUGAAUAAAGACAGUAGAAUCAACCAGUAUGAAUUGUUUCUAGACUUUAAAAUUACAGCCUGGUAAAAUGCUGAUUGGGUUAGGCGUCCAGUGGGAGAUGCCCAGGCUACUUAAGCCUGAACCCCUGGGUUCCAUUCCCUAAACCAUGGUGGAAGGAGAGAACUGACCUUCACUCAUGUGCCAUGUUUUGAGUCAGUGUGAUAAUGAUACAUAAAAUUAUAAUCUGUAUGAGAUUAAGCUUUCUUUUCCACUUGUUCCGUGUGUGUGUGUGUGUGUGUGUGUGUGUGUGUGUGUGUGUAGAAGAGAGAGAGAGAGAGAGAGAGAGAGAGAGAGAGAGAGACAUAUGAAGGGAAGAAGAGGAGGGAGGAGAGACACUUUUUUUGAUUUGCUGUUCAGUGUUCGCUUGACUUUAUAAGACAGACAUGCUGCUAUAGUCUGAUCGUGCAUAUUUUAGACCUGAUGUGUUUAAGUUAUAUGUCUGUGUUUCCUAAGAGAAAUGUAGUCAGUAUAUCACCAUUUAACCAAUGUGGUAAUCUCGGACCCUUGUGAAAUGGUAGGGUGGAGGCGUUCACAGGAGAGCAGUAGAGAAAGCUAGUUCUGAAAGCUCGUUUAGGGAGCAGGGAGCUUUAGGCCUGAUCGAGUAAACCUUAGAUUUGAAUUCUCUCUCUCUUUUAAUAUUUAUUUAUUAUGUGUACAGUGUUGUCCCGCGCGCUGUAUGUUCUCGCCGGCAAGAAAUACACGCAGGACACUCGGAUCCUUCUGCAGACAAGCUUUAAUGCAUCUUGAGAGUUGGGAGAGCAUAAGCUUACCAGAGCGGAGACCCUGAACCAAGAAUCCCAUUCCUUAAUAAAGGCUGGCAAGCCGCCUGGGACGUGUUACCCUAUGAAUGGCUUCAGCUCCUCAGGCCAAAUGAGCCACGGGAUAGGCAGAGAUCAAAGGAAUGGAGAUUACCCAGCGCCUGUGAAGUAAUUUACAUUUUGGUGUCUUCAGGCACCAUUAUUGUAAUGGAGAAUGCAGGAACGGCUCCCUACAUAUCCCCCUUUUUUUAUUAAUUAAUGAUAAGGCUUUAUAUUUUUACAAGCAAAUAGGUCACCCAUAUGUUGAGGGAUAGAGGCAGAGGUUGUACCUUCCCAAAUCAAACAUUAAGACUGUGUACGAGAGUCGCGACUAGGCUGUUAGCUUGACCCAAAGCUCUCUCGACCUGUCCUCUGCCGUUUUUCUGGGAAAGGGAGGCUCGGGC
This 1678-nucleotide long non-coding RNA is filed under the name Cricetulus griseus (Chinese hamster). Its description in RNAcentral is "lncRNA (ENSCGRG00000025345.1)". The record is from RNAcentral. Lineage: Eukaryota; Metazoa; Chordata; Mammalia; Rodentia; Cricetidae.